GUCUUUGCGCAGUGGCAGUAUCGUAGCCAAAGAGGUUUAUCCAAGGCGCGAUUAUUGCUAAUUGAAAACUUUUCCCAGAGGUGC
RNAcentral lists this small nuclear RNA (84 nucleotides) under Fukomys damarensis (Damara mole-rat). Its description in RNAcentral is "U4 spliceosomal RNA (ENSFDAG00000000321.1)". It matches the Rfam family "U4 spliceosomal RNA". From Rfam's summary of the family: U4 small nuclear RNA (U4 snRNA) is a component of the major U2-dependent spliceosome. The structure of U4 snRNA from yeast and human has been reported. The record is from RNAcentral. Lineage: Eukaryota; Metazoa; Chordata; Mammalia; Rodentia; Bathyergidae.